UUGAUGUCAUCGUUGUGGAGUAAAGGAUUGACAGAGUCGAUGGUCCAAGACAUGGUAUUGGUUAUUCUUCUGCCAAUCUUUGCAAUAAUGGUUGGCUUGUAUCAACAAAUACCUCUUGAUUUAUAUAUUUGAUUUGAAUCACCCUCGCCAGUCACCCGUGAAACAUAUAGAACAUGAUUCCACCAAGAAGCAGGAGUAAAUCAAAGCAUUUCUCUGAAGUACUCGAGUGAAGAAGACAACGUUGAUGAGGUACAUGGGCAAAGGAAAUGUGUCUGAGGGUUCAACAUCGUCGUUUUGAUGGUGAUGAUCCACCACCUUCACUUUCAUUUUCACCGCAUCAUUGACCAGACUGCCAGCUCCUCCUACUCUCUUGGUGGUCUGUUGCCAUUAUCGAUAGCUUUUGGACGUCCAUCGGAUACACUCAGUCAAGAGGAUGGCUGCAGCGCGCAUGGACCAAAGCGAAAGGGUUGCGUCAAAUUUUGGGUCGUGGACUAGUAUAAAGGUUGUCCUCAUGUUUCCUUGCUUAGGAAUCCGAUGGCUUUGAGGAUUGUAAAAGUCGGAAGAGGUGUGGUGGGAGUGGAUUUGGAAGGUGAAGGAGGUGUGGUGGCUGCCGCCUCGUUGUAGUCAUACAUAGCUUUCAAUCUAGGUUUGGGCAUGUGGAGAGAGAGAGAGAGAGAGAGAGAGAGAGAGAGAGAGAGAGUAGUAUAUANNNNNNNNNNNNNNNNNNNNGAGAGAGAGAGGUAUGAAUUACCAUUUGACAAAUAAAUAAUGUCAUAAGAGUUAACUACAUACUUUAUUAUCAAGCUUCAGAUUCCGUGUACCAAAAUGUUCAAUUUUUUUGAAUGCAAAUCAAUUGUUUUUGAUUGAAGACACUAAGGUUACAGUAGCCAUUACACAUCAUUCCACUACCAUAUACAGAUAAACAGUAAGUAGUAAGGGAUGCUUACAAUGGAAUGUAUGAUGGAACUACUCACUAAUCGGGUCAUGCUCGCUUGUAGUAAUUGGUCCUAAAAUAAAAUUACAAAGAAAAUAAUAGCAAAUAGACAAAGUUCCAAAAUGCUUGAUUUGUAACUUCAUGUAUAGAAAUUAUUAGUGGCCUUUUUUGGUGUACUUUUAGCAAAAUUUUCUCUUUAUUUAUUGUUUUUUGAAAUGAGGCAUUAGCAAAAAAAAUUGCGUGGUUAUUUCGGAGGGGAAGACUUAAAAUAAGAGCUUUUAUGUCAAGAUUUUUGAGAUCGUCUAUAAGAUAUGGAGCAUAUUUUUCAUGGCUGCUCUUUUGUCAGAUCUAUUUGGAGUAGUGCGAUUCAUAUGCUUGCUCCCUCUUCCUUCCCAUCUUUGGCAGAGUAGAUUGAACAUUUAACGAGUCAAGACCUGUGUCUACUAUUGAGAACUGCUUGGUAGUCUACUGGCAUGUGAAAGGCUCGAAACAACUCCAUCUUCCGCUUUACCCAGCCUUCUCCCAAUUCAGUUCUCUUUGAGGCUGCUUCAGCGAGUUUUGUGUACCGUGUUUUGCUCCUCUUCUGCCGGUGUUGGUCUUGCUCAAUCUCCUCUACCUGCUGAUAUAAUCUGAUGGAUCCCCCAUGCCCUCAACUGGUUAAUUUUGAACUUUGAUGCCUCUGUUAAUGGUUCUUCUACUGUCGUUGGUUUCAUUAUUAAGGCGAGUUGGGGAGCCCCCUAGUGGCUGGAUCUCGGCGCCUUCUUACCACCAAUGUUCCCCUUGCUGAAAGCUCUGCUCUCAAAGAUGGUCUUCUUGCUACUAAAAGAUUCAACUACUCAUCUAUUAUGGUUGAGGGUGUACGUCUCGCUGAUCACAAUCAAUUAUGUCAAAAAAAAGUUUGUGAGACUCCUUGGAGGCUAAUAUUUACUAGGGAUAUUUGGGCGAUUGCUGGCAACUUUAAUCAUAUCACUUUCAAUCAUAUAUUAUGAUCACACGAGAAGCUAAUUUUCUAACGGAUGAUCUAACGGAUUUGGGCCACUCCCUUGAUUCUCCCAAAAUUUAGAUGGUCUUCUACCUCCUCAGACGUCGCAGGCUCUUUGUUGGACUCUUCUAAUUUGAGGCGCCGUAGGGGCUCCUCUUUAAUGUGUUGUACUUUUCUUCUCUGAAAAAAAAAAAAAAAAAAGGGAACUAUGAGUUACAGAAAGCCAUAAAACAGAAAGGAGCAAGUCUAGUUAUUCAUUGACUCUAUGAGUAACCAUAUUGGUAGGUGGGGAGCAUUAUGAUUUAUGAACUAAAGAGCUAGGCCCCUUGGAGGGUUAUUGAAGGUAGUGCUUUCUUUUCUUCCCUUUGAUCGAUCCCCAUGUUUCCACUGUAUACAGCUUUGGAAUCGGAGGUCAUCCUGGCACUCAAAGUCUCAAACUGAAUAUAACCACCAAUUUAUCCCAUGACGUUACAUGAGUGGAGUAACUGUAGAUCAAAACAGAAGAUACAUGAUCCCCCAGCUCCAAGCGGUCCCAAAUAAUGGCCACCACCUAAUUUUGUAGCCCAACCAAUUAAGGUGCCAACUAGCUAGCAAGAGGUGGUUGUUAGCUCAUCUCCUCCCUUUUUCGUGAAGCUAAUCAAGCCUCUUUCUUAUGACAUGGUCAGUGAAUCCUAGCAAACAGUCACAUACAUGUUCAUUGGGUUUGGGGGGGGGGGGGGGGGGGGGGUUGGAUCAGCUGGUUGGUUAGACAUGUCCAUUAUCGAACCGGGUCAGAGAGAAAAGAAUACCUCUAAUUAAUAAGGAACACGGUUAACUUUCGUCGACUCUUAUGAAGCACGACAACGGAAAAGAAAAAUCACAGAAGUUUUGUAUGAUACGGUAAGGAACAUCAGAAAGAGUAAAAGAUGGUAAUAGAUUCAUAUAUACGUACGAGAAUUUCUGAAGCAAAAAUUGCGUAACUAAUUUCUGUACUCUAGGAGUUAAUUAACAUCUAGAGAAUUUACAAAACUGAACAAAAUUUCUACAGUAGUAUUGACAACAUGUACAAAACUACAGGAAAAAUGAUCAAGGUCGAUCGAUUCAUGAUGAUGAUGAUCACGAUCAAUUGACCUCGGGAAUGCUCUGAAGAACAGGCCUCCACGGACGCUGAUGAUCAGCCUCGUAUGGAUCGGUACUACUACUACUAACGCUCAUGAUCAACUGUGCCAAAACCUGCUGUACAGUCAUUUGCUUCAGCUCCACCCUACCCAUCAACUCCUCCAGCUGCUUCUUCGUCAUCUUUAUCUUCACUUCUGUAUUAGCUCCUCCUGCUGGUUGAGCUUUCGUCUUCGGUGAAUCGUAAGAACCAGCAAAUCUACCACCAUCUUCUUCACCUCCAAGAAGCCCUUCCUCUUCUUCUGCUUCUAUCUUCUUCGUCUUCCUCAUAUGCUUGUGAUCUCGAUCAUCAUUCGCCAGAGAACCCCAGUCCUCACCUCCCCAGUUCACCGACGACGAUUCCUCGUGCCUCAUACAAUUCCCCAUGUAUUUCUUUCUUUCUUUCUCUUUGGUUUUGGCUCUAGUGAUGAUAAAAUCUGGGAAUAGAGAGCGAGCUGCGUUGCGGUUUAUAUACAGGAGAGCGGAGAGAGAGAGA
Molecule: long non-coding RNA, 3546 nt
Filed under: Fragaria vesca (wild strawberry)
Lineage: Eukaryota; Viridiplantae; Streptophyta; Magnoliopsida; Rosales; Rosaceae
Description: long non-coding RNA (FVES_LNC001359)
Source: RNAcentral